UGAUAAGUGGUAUUUAUACACACUUAUAGGCCUUCAUUUCCACUUAAAUUGGUUGGUUGUACUUAAGUGUUUAGUGUCUUUUAAUGUGUUUUUAGUGUUUUUCUGUGCAGGUCACGAGUUGAGGUGAUGAAGUGAUUUUCUAUCAUUUUAGGUUGUUUUUGGUGCAUUAUUUGCAAGAAUAGAGAAUUGUGGAUUCAUCACGACUUGGGAUUUUGUGGGUACAUCUUCUACAAACCCUCACGAGAACACACUCGUCCACUAGAGCUAUCUAGGGGUUUAAAGGGCUUGUUGCAUGUGCUAAAUGCAACCGUGAUCACCUACGGAAGUGGUACUAGGAGCGAGGAAGGACAUGCACACGAGAACGAGCUGAAAACGAAGAAUCAGGGCUGCCAUCACAGACAGUAGCGCGCCCGCGCUACUUACUAGCGCGCCCGCGCUAGUUUAGCGCGCCCGCGCCCAGCAGAAGUUCCCUGGGCCGAUUUUGAAGCUUUCUGAUGGAUUUUCGCAGCGGUCGAGGCCCGGUUGACUUGGUCAAUGUAAUUUAAUUUCUCGUGUGUAAAACCCUAGCCUCAGAGAAGUAGUUUUAGUAGAGAACAAUAGAAUAGUUUAAUUUAUCGAAGCACAUUAUCAGUUGUAUUGGAUCGUUCUUUGCGAGGAAGUGACAGUUUCGAGCGAGAUCGUGAACAUCAAUUCUGUAACGUGUGAUCUUUAUUAUUAAUUCAAGCACUUUUAUUAUAUUCAAUUCUCGUCUUUUCUUUAUCAUGUUUUCAUUAGAACCCAUGAUGUCGAUUAGUUCGAUUAUGAACUAACCGCCUUCAUGGGAUUCUAAUGGAUUUAUCGAUGUAGUCUAGUAACGAAUAUUAAUUGCUUGAUUAUGUGACGUACGUUGAUUUCUUUGCAUGCGCCGUGCUUAUUCUUCUUAGGAGCGUAGCUAACUUCUAAGUUGUUUGUUAAUUCUUUCUGAAGCGAGAGUGGAUGAUUGAAUUUAGAACUAUGCCAUGUAAACAUAGGAUUAUGUGAAUGAAACAUAAUUUGUGGUAGACUUGAACUAUUUUUAUCACCCUGUGUAAUCACGAUAGACGACUUGUUAUUAAACCUCUCUGCUUACACUACCGCUAUAGAGAUAUAGGGUCUGAGCUUUGUUGGUGUCCAUGAGAUUUCUGUCUUAAUUGUGGAUUUUGAUUGGUAUGAUAUGUGUGCAACGAGAGUUGGCAUGUAUUACUUUCGUGUUGUCUGAUUAGGAUCAACAGUCGCAUGUUAUUCAGUAAUUUCAAUUCUAGAUGAAUUCGAUAAUGAAGUUAGAAUCCCAUGUGUUUUCCUAUUCUGAAUUUGAUUAGUAAAUUUAGUUAUUAGUAUAAAAGAAACCAUCCUUGUUAAUUGUCUUGGCAGUGAAAAUUGAUCAUACAUUGUUGCAUAGGUGCGUAUUCUUAAUUCACCAGUCUCUGUGGGAACGAACUUAAUAUAUUACUUGUGAUCACGUGCGCUUGCGUGUAGAUUUUUGCGAACAAGUUUUUGGCGCCGCUGCCGGGGACUCGGUGUUAAUUAAUUAGUUUAUGUACUUGUCAUCAGUGUGCAUUAAAAUUCACUGACUAGGAUUCUAUUCUCUUCUCACUUUUCUUCUUUUCUUUAUUUCAGGUACUUGGAUCGCGUUUAUGCUAACACAUUCUAAAGCUCAUAAGAAAGCAAUGGAUUCAUCUUCUUCUUCUUCUGAUGCUGGAACAAGAGAUUAUGCAAGGACAGCAGUUGGUGAGGCUACACGUGGAUUUUCUCGUUUGAACAUCAAUGAUAAUCGGGCUGACACAAUUGAGCCAGCGAUAUCAGCCAGUGGUAUUCGAAUCAAGCCAUCAAUCAUUCUCAAGCUGCAGGAUACUAUUCAAUUUGGGGGAUCUGUUCUUGAGGACCCAAACUUGCAUCUAAGGAAUUUCGAGAAAUUCAUUACUGCAUUGGAUUUCAAUAUCGGACCUAAGGAUCUAGUGAAGCUGAGACUCUUUCCAUUCACGCUACGUGAUGUAGCACGAUCAUGGUUUAUCUCUCUCUCGGCAAGCACUACUAAUAGCUGGAACAAGUUGGAGAAAAUAUUCUGUACAAGGUUUUAUCCUCUAAUUAAAGUAUCAGCUAUCAAAAACACUGAAGGUAAAUUCUCUCAAUUCUCGGGAGAAUAUCUUUGUCUAGCUUGGGACCGAUUCAAGAAGAUUCUCGAAAAUCUCAAGGAAGAUGACAUGCCUCCUGGAAUGGCAAUUAAUUACUUCUACAGGGGUCUUAAUGGUCAAUGCAGAGCAGAGUUAGACGUAGCAGCUGGAGGAAGUUUGUGGAACAAAAGCUUCGAUGAUGCUUAUGAACUGAUAGAGAACCUAGCCGCUGCUGAGCACAAAGAUCUAAAGUGGAAAAUUCCAAAAGAGGAAGAAUCGGAGGAGGAUGAAGCGGUCGAAGUCACUCAGCAAGUCCAGAUGACUAAUUGGCACAGAAUCAGAGCUCACUCAGACUCAAACUUUAAUGCAUGUGGAGACACUUGUCCUCUAUUCUCUGCCAGUGCGAGUAACCAAUCUGUAAUUCAAUCACCUGCUGAUUCAACACUGAAUGAAGCACAGUACCGAAGAAUAAUCAGGCGUAUUGACGUGUUGGAGGAACGAAUUGGUCGCUUUGCUGAUAUACUAACGGAUUCUCUUGCUGAAGCGUUCUUGGCACUAGACGUCAAUGUUACUUGGGAUUCGUUUGGUUAUGGAACGAGGUAUCCUCCACAGGAUACUUCAUCGGAAUCGGAUUAAUUCUGGACUUCACGUCGAGCUAACGACGUUAAACAAGCGCUUCGUGGGAGGCAACCCACGCAUUGGAACCACAUUGUACCAUUGUAAACCUCAAAAACACAAAAAUCGGAAAAAAUCAGCCCCCGGUGUCAGACACUAGCGCGCCCGCGCUAGUGUCCAGCGCGACCGCGCUAAGUUGCACAGCGCGCCCGCGCUACACUUAGCGCGGCCGCGCUACUGACUGCCAAGACAGGCGAUUUUUCUCCCAAAAAUAUUUUCUUUUCGUUUUUAAAAGCCCACAAUCCUAAUUUUGCAUGCCUAGCCCGAAAUACAUCCAAUAAAACCCUAACUCAGCUAUCCAAUCCUUAUAUAAACACAAAACACAUCUCCAAAUCCCAUUAUAAUUCUCUAAACCCCAAUUAUAUAUACACAUCCAUACACACAACCUUCAUCCAAUCUCUCAAACCCAUUACACACAAACCUCUUACAAAUCUAAAUCUCUACCAAUGGCACCCAAAAGAGCCCGCAGAUCACAAGGACCGAGCACCCAAGCCCCUGCAUCUAGCGAUUCUUCCUCGAUGGGUGAGGUUGAGUUCACAUCCGAUGGUGCACGAACCGAGUUUCAACGGCUUAUGAAUAAGUCGUUAGUCAAGGAGAGGGGAUUCUUACCCACGGCGGAAGAUGGUGAGCUCUUGAACAUGAUUCAAGAACGAGGUUGGGAAUCUUUUUGCGAGGCUCCGGAGGCGGUUCCCUUGGCUAUUAUUCGAGAAUUUUAUGCCAAUGCCAAGGAGAAUCGUGAUGGAUUCACGGUGGUACGGGGAAUCCGGGUGGAUUAUAGUGCGGAUGCAAUCCGUAGAGUCAUUGGGGGGCGUGCCAGGUAGGGGUGUGCAUUCGGUUCGGUUAACCGAAAACCGAACCGAAUAACCGAAAUAAUUUCGGUUCGGUUAACCGAAAUUUAUAUUUCGGUUCGGUUUUCGGUAGUCAUAUUUUCAUUUUUCGGUUAUUCGGUUAUUCGGUUUUUUAACCGCGGUUAACCGAAAACCGAACGGUUAACCGAAAUUUUAUUUAUAUUAUAAAAAAAUUAAUAUAUAUUAUAAUUUAUAAGUUUAACCUACCCAAAUUGAAAUACCUAAUAACUAAUAGUCGUAUUACCUUCAGCCGACUUCAGUACUUCAGUUCAUUUACUAACUUGGCCAUUUCGGAAGAAUCUUUGAUUCUGUGAAGUGUGAAGAUUCGGAAAGCUCCUGACUAGUGACUAGCUACGCGAAGCUCUUGCCCUCAGUCCCUCACUCCAUCUCAGCAAAUCAAACAAUCGAGGUAAAUAAUCAAACAACACUUGAUUCGAUUUUGUGUCUAUAUAUUUGAGUAGUAUAUAUUUGAGUCGAUUGCUAGCUUUGCUAUUGCAGAUUUGUAUCUAUAUGCCUAUAUAUUUGAAGAUUUGUGCAUAUGAAUUGGGGGAUUUAAGAUUUGUGUGUAUUAUGUAUAUGAAUUGGGAGAUUUCAGAUUUAACAUAUUAAGUAUUAACAGUAAUUUUCAGUUUUUAAAACUCUUUUUAAAAAUUUCGGUUUUUAAUUUCGGUUUUCGGUUUUAACCGAAAUUUAAAAUUCGGUUCGGUUACAAAACCGAAAUUAUUUCGGUUCGGUAUUCGGUAGGGAUUUUAUAGAAAUUUCGGUUUCGGUUAACCGAAAAAAAAUUCGGUUUCGGUUUCGGUUAACCGAAUGCACAGCCCUAGUGCCAGGCGCCCUAAUGAAGAAGAUUGGGUGGUUGAGAGGAUUGGGCGUGCCAAACGCCGAUUUGAUGAUGAUCCGGUUGAUCUGGAGCGGUUGGUAUACGAUAUGUGUGUGCCGGAUACGCGUUGGAAGAUGACUGCACCUCCUUUGCCGGCACAUGUUUCUUUUCCAGCAGCCGCGUUGAACCGGUAUGCGAAGGCGUGGAACGCCUUCAUCUGUGCCAACAUCAUGCCAUCGUCACAUGGGCAUGAGGUGAUAGUGGAAGCAGCCGCGUUGAACCGGUAUGCGAAGGCGUGGAACGCCUUCAUCUGUGCCAACAUCAUGCCAUCGUCACAUGGGCAUGAGGUGAUAGUGGAUAGAGCUAUUCUGCUCUUUGGGAUUGCCUCGGGCAAGUAUAUUGACCUGGGACAUGUUAUUCAUCAGGGGAUUCUGAGGUUCUUACAGGGAGGAACCACUGGUGCCAUUCCAUAUGGCACAAUUGUUACCAAGCUCUGUCGAUCGAGUGGUGUUCGUUGGCCAUCCAACGAGCAAUUACAGUUGCCAGCAGCACCGAUUGAUCAUUCGGCGAUUAGUCGAAUGACAGAGUGGGAUGGAGGAGUUCCCCACCCUCGAGGCCUCGGGUACUUAUAUGAUGAGAUGCCAGGGGGACGUCCAGCGUUUGUUAGGAGGGAGCAGCCUAGAGCUUCUGGAGCCGGUACUUCUCAGACGGAGAGGAGCUCCGAACCGAUGGGAGAUGUUCAUUAUCGCAGAUUAGCGAGACGGAUGGACACUAUGCAUGACAUCCACCAGAGGUUUGCUUUUGAUUUGACACAGGCUCUAGGUAGUGCUUUUCAGGCACAGGGGGUCACCGUUCAGUGGCCAGUAUUCGGAGCGGGGAUGCAGUAUCCACCACCUGAUUCACCUCCUGCAGAGGAGGGGGAGGACUCGGACUCCGAGUAGGUAUGUGGGUGCUCUAGCCUUUUUAUCACUUUCAAUGGGGACAUUGAAACUUUUAAGUUUGGGGGUGGUAAUCUAAGGAAGAGCAUAUUAUUUUAUUACGUUUAUUAUUGCAUGUGUUAGUUAGUUCAUGUAGUUCACGUUUUUUAUUUUGUCUUAUUUGAUUAUUUCUCACGUUUGUUUUUUUUAUUUUACUCACGUUUUUUUUUUAGUAUGUUUAUUUUGCAUAGUAAUUGUCGUAGUUAGUAUCACGAGCAUUUGCAUGAAUUAUGAAGUUUAAGCCAAGUUAAUUGCCUAUGAUGAGUUAUGUGCGUAGUUCUUGAUUAGUAAUUUCAAUUGCAAUGCUAGGUUAGUACUUGGAAAUUGCUUGUGUUGGAAAUUGUAAUUCACAUAUGUUCUUGAGAUAGGAUUUAGACGAAAUUCCAUGAAUUCUAGGAUUGAAUUGAGCGCCCUUCAGCUUAGGUCUGUAAAUCUUAAGUUUGGGGGAACUGAGGAGUAGAUAUACCUUUCUAAAAAAAAAAAAAAAAAAAAAAAAAAAAAAAAAAUAUAGUAGUAAUAAAUUCACUAAAAAAAUAAGUGGUAGAAUUAACUAGGUUGAGCUCAUUAGUACUCGAGUAAUUAAGUCUGAGGGGACUUUGUGCCUAACAACCUAAAGCCCUUUGUGGUUUGGGAUUGUUGACCCAACGCUCGCUACAUGGGUACUAGUGCAUAAAUCUUUAGGGAUCUCAACCAUUGCACGGUUAAAUAAACCACUAGAAUAGAGUGAAUAAUUGGUGUGUGAAGUCUUGUGGUGUUCGUAACGCAUUUACACUGCGAAGCGCUCUGACCUUAGACCGAACAAUGAAUCACCAAUAAAAAGAAAAAAAUAAUUAUAGUNNNNNNAGUUUAAAACUUUUACGAUCGUGAUUGGGAUUCUGUGGGAGUAGUAGUUUUUGUCUUGUCUCAAUAAAAGAGCAUGCUUGCACACACUGGCACUCCACACUUGUAAAUAGAAGAGUAAUUGACUUGGUAGCGAGAGAAGUGAAAUUCGAGAACAUUAGCACGAUCUGAGGUAUUAUAAUUGGCAAGGCAAUUACUUCAUAGUUCACUCAUUCAUCACGUAGUUGCAUUCAUGCAUUGCAUUGUAUUAUUGUAUAGUGUCGUUGACGCUUGAGGACAAGCAUCAGUUUAAGUUUGGGGGUGUGAUAAGUGGUAUUUAUACACACUUAUAGGCCUUCAUUUCCACUUAAAUUGGUUGGUUGUACUUAAGUGUUUAGUGUCUUUUGAUGUGUUUUUAGUGUUUUUCUGUGCAGGUCACGAGUUGAGGUGAUGAAGUGAUUUUCUAUCAUUUUAGGUUGUUUUUGGUGCAUUAUUUGCAAGAAUAGAGAAUUGUGGAUUAAUCACGACUUGGGAUUUUGUGGGUACAUCUUCUACAAACCCUCACGAGAACACACUCGUCCACU
Molecule: long non-coding RNA, 6852 nt
Filed under: Daucus carota (carrot)
Lineage: Eukaryota; Viridiplantae; Streptophyta; Magnoliopsida; Apiales; Apiaceae
Description: long non-coding RNA (DCAR_LNC006013)
Source: RNAcentral